This 337-nucleotide long non-coding RNA is filed under the name Dermacentor andersoni. Its description in RNAcentral is "uncharacterized LOC126528353". The record is from RNAcentral. Lineage: Eukaryota; Metazoa; Arthropoda; Arachnida; Ixodida; Ixodidae.
GUGUUGCUGAUCAGUGCUGAUCUCUACGUCUGAGUUGGCCCCACAACAUCCAGGCACCACUGUGCUUUGCUUCAUUGACAAGGUGUGGCUGGGCCUGUAGAAAAGCUGUAAGCAGACUGCAGUGUUGCUGAUCAGUGCUGAUCUCCACGUCCGAGUUGGUCCCACAACAUCCAGGCACCACGGUGCUUUCACAAGAGGCAUACGAGCACUUUGUGUCAAAAACGCCGAGCACUGUGGAUACAGAGGCAAGGAGGCUGAAUGACCUGAACAAGCACCUGGCCACCAUGCUUCGGGAUGCAAAAUAAAGAUGGUUUGUGUUAAUUGUGUGCCCUAAAAA